GGCGUCGACCGGCGCACGGGUGAGUAACGCGUAUCCAACCUGCCCACCACUUGGGGAUAACCUUGGCGAAAGUAAGACUUAAUACCCAAUGACGUCUUUAGGAAGACAUCUGAAAGGGAUUAAAGAUUUAUCGGUGAUGGAUGGGGAUGCGUCUGAUUAGCUUGUUGGCGGGGUAACGGCCCACCAAGGCAACGAUCAGUAGGGGUUCUGAGAGGAAGGUCCCCCACAUUGGAACUGAGACACGGUCCAAACUCCUACGGGAGGCAGCAGUGAGGAAUAUUGGUCAAUGGGCGAGAGCCUGAACCAGCCAAGUAGCGUGCAGGAUGACGGCCCUAUGGGUUGUAAACUGCUUUUAUAAGGGAAUAAAGUGAGCCUCGUGAGGCUUUUUGCAUGUACCUUAUGAAUAAGGACCGGCUAAUUCCGUGCCAGCAGCCGCGGUAAUACGGAAGGUCCGGGCGUUAUCCGGAUUUAUUGGGUUUAAAGGGAGCGUAGGCCGGAGAUUAAGCGUGUUGUGAAAUGUAGAUGCUCAACAUCUGCACUGCAGCGCGAACUGGUUUCCUUGAGUACGCACAAAGUGGGCGGAAUUCGUGGUGUAGCGGUGAAAUGCUUAGAUAUCACGAAGAACUCCGAUUGCGAAGGCAGCUCACUGGAGCGCAACUGACGCUGAAGCUCGAAAGUGCGGGUAUCGAACAGGAUUAGAUACCCUGGUAGUCCGCACGGUAAACGAUGGAUGCCCGCUGUUGGUCUGAAUAGGUCAGCGGCCA
Molecule: ribosomal RNA, 764 nt
Filed under: uncultured bacterium
Lineage: Bacteria
Description: bacterial SSU rRNA
Rfam family: Bacterial small subunit ribosomal RNA
Source: RNAcentral